Molecule: non-coding RNA, 23 nt
Filed under: Cricetulus griseus (Chinese hamster)
Lineage: Eukaryota; Metazoa; Chordata; Mammalia; Rodentia; Cricetidae
Source: RNAcentral
UAUUCUCUGAGGCAAAUGGCUGC